RNAcentral lists this long non-coding RNA (26454 nucleotides) under Erythranthe guttata (spotted monkey flower). RNAcentral describes it as "long non-coding RNA (EGUT_LNC002270)". Lineage: Eukaryota; Viridiplantae; Streptophyta; Magnoliopsida; Lamiales; Phrymaceae. The record is from RNAcentral.
UUUAUUCACCUUUUUAUUCAAUCAAAUAUUGGAAGUAUGUAUUUUCCGCUAAAAACAUUUAACAAUAUGUAAUAACCGUGCAUCGCACGGGUGUAUUACUAGUUUUAUAUAUAAAAGGAAGAUUUUUUACUUAUAAUCCUAGAUCUAAACCUAGGGGUGUUUUAGACAUUUUCUAUUUGGCAGAUUUUUCUUCUAUUUUUUGCAAUGAUAAUUCCGCUUGCUACGUAAAUCCAUUUCCACAUCCUACGUUAUUUGUUGCCGAUUUUUUUUUGUUUUAAUUUAAUUCUGCAUUUCUUCCUUCUCUCAGAUUUUCUCGACAGUUGUUUUUUCCAUAUCUUUUUCAAAACCUAGAGAAAACGAUCUCCACUUCCCACGUUUGUAGACAGACGUUUUUUUUCCCCAUAUUUUGUAUUAACUUUCUUCAUAAAUUCGGAUGAAUAGCAACAAACGAUCAGAGAUCUGCAGAACUGCUAUUGUUGUUAUAGUAAUUGGCUUUCACUUUGAUUGUCUGUUAUUUAUUUAUUUUUUGUUAGUAAAUCUUCAUGGGCAUACUCAAAGUAAUAUUGAUCAAUUGAAUGGUUUGUUGGUGCUACACUUGCGUAAGCACUGUCAGUCCUCGAGAAACGUGUUAUUACUUGCAUUGGUGAUUUGGAAAAGGAUUAGUAUAGGCCUGAAGUUCUAUAGCCUCCGGUCUCAAGUUCAAUACAAACUCUAAGAGCAGAGUCAGUAAACAAUCUGAAAAUUAUUUUUAUUUCUGAUCUAUAAUUAUCUAUGAGGUUCAGAGUCCAGCGUAGUGUCACAAUAUUUUGGGACAAUGCUUAUGUAUCUUUUACUAAUUAUCUUUUGGGAUUAUUGUGCUUGUUAUUUUUAAUAUGACUUUCCACAAAAAGAACAGUGUUUGGUGAUAUUUUCAUGCAUCAAAGAGACUUUUUUUAGGUUAAUAAAUUUCACAUAAAACACGAAGCAAAAUCCAAGAUCAUCAUUCCUGAAUUCACUCAGUAUCCAUAAAUUGUUAUACUGUCCUUCAAAUUAUUUAUUCUUGAUCACGAUUUUAUAGAAUUAUGUUCAGCCCAAACAUAGAGAGAAGUAAGAGGCAAAAAAGGUGCAUGUGAUCGACCAUCUAUGCGAGAAAUAAUAAUGUCAUAGUAUAUAUUGAACUCUGAAGUAAUUGCCACAAUAACUUAUGAUAUGCCUAACUUAAAUGGAAAACUAACAUGAGACAUGUAAUUGAUACAUUUUCCAUAGCUGCCCUUUUUUUUAAUAUGCAAUAUUUUUUGAUAUAGUGGUUUCAUGUUUGUGGAAUGUAUUUUGCUUUCGUGUACGUUUUUUGAAGCACCAGAAUUUGUUGCUUCUUCUUCCUCCAAAAAAGGGUAUACUUUUUUUUGAAAAAAUGGACUUCCGGGUAGGUUCUAUCUUUUUACAUUUUUAAAAACAAUAUAGGUUUGUUUUGGAACAUACACAACAUCGUGUUCUUUUUUCGUUCUCCACAUUGCAUGUUAUUGUAGAAGCUCCUUAAAAAGAAGAAGAAGAAGAAGAAGAAGAAAAAGAAGGAGGAGGAGGAGGAGCAGGAGGAGGAAGAAGAAGAAGAAGAAGAAGAAGAAGAAGAAGAAGAAGAAGAAGAAUAUAUAUGUUUGUCUGAUACUGAUUUUUAUUAAGAGUUUAAAUGUCAUUAUCUAUUUUUUAUUUACAUGGUAUUGAAGUGAGAAACAAUUGCUAUUUGAAAUAAUUGUCUGUGUUGUUAAAUUUGUAUUAUUUUUUGUUUAACAUACAUAUAUUAUGCAUUGACACUCGGUAUAUAUAUAUUGUUGGAUGAAAAAUAUAUGCUACAAUUAAAUAAGGUAAUAACAAUGUCAUUUCAAUAUUAUUUAAUAGGUUGUUUAUUACAAUUUGUACUAUUAUUUAUUCAAAACAAUUAGUUUUUUUUCCUUUUUGAAUGCGACCUCGUGCAACGCACGGGCACGAUUACUAGUUGCAAUAAAGUCAACAAUUACUCUUGUCAUGAAAUAAAUAUUACAAUAGCCGCCUAGGGUAAAGUUGGUAUUUUGUGAAGAAUAUGCUAUGCCAGAAUUCGCACCGCGAGGGGACAACGUAAGACGAAAACUAAAUGCAGUGGGGGGUUUUUGGGAAUAAUGAAUGCUUUAUGUUCUUUUUUUUUUUCUUGCUGUAAAAUGAACUUAGUUCACGGGUUUUCUCAAAUAAAUGUUAUAUAUACUGAUCUAAGAUUAAUUUCUACCUGAAUUGUAACUUUAGAGUAAGGCACGUACCAUAAAUAUUGCCUUAAUUUGUUUGCGACUGAUUGAAAUCUCUGAAUCUUGCUUAUUUUGAAUCUCCAACAAGAUUUGAAGAAGAUCUUUCUUCCCUUCUUUGAUUUCUCCGGAUAAAUUCAUUUCGUGUUGGGUGAUAACGGUUUCGAAAAUCUUGUCGACAAUUUGCAUAUAAGUCUCCAUCUGUUUUUUUACUCCUUGAAUAUCAAGCCAAGCAAGAAGUGGAAAGAAAUCAGAAAUAUUCGGCUUUCCGAACAAAUCAACAAGCUUCGGUGCCACGGCCAGAAACUCAGACGCAAUUCUUUCGCCCUCUUCCCCUUCAAAUUUCCCGCCCCACAACAUGCUCAUCAUGACCUUUAGCUCGGUGCGAAAAAUCAACGGUCCGAUUUCGACGGGAUUUCCAAUCUUAGCAUGCACUUGUCUAACUGCCGUUCUAACCUGAUCCUUGCGAAGAUUAUAGGAUGCAUCGAGACUUUUGGCGUUCAUCAUCUCUUGAACGAAUAUUUUUCUCAUCGCACGCCACUUUGAAUUGAGCUCGGAGAAGACGAUGUCGUUCGCACCGUAAGUCGCAACGAUUCCUACAGCAGGAAUGUCACGAUUUGCGAAAACAGAGUCUUGAUCGCGGACUACCUCUUUUACGAGUGAUGGUGAGUUUAUUACAACACAGAAUUUUUUCCCGAGAGAGAUACUGUAUAUCGGACCAUAUUUGUGUCCCAAUUCCGUGAAUUUUUGGAAUAAAUUGUUGCCGAGAAACGGCAAAUAUCCGAGGAUCGGAAGCCCGAGGGGACCAGGUGGCAGGGGAGGAUUUGCUCUUCUACCUUGUGAGGUUUUGAUGUACCAUAAAAUGGACAUGAACAAAGUUGAGAUUGAGAAGGUUGCUACUACAUACAGCCCAUCCAUUUGUUACUUCUUUUUUCUUCUUUUGGGCUACUUCUGUAACUGGUUGGGUUAUAUAUAUAUAUAUAUAUAUAUAUAUAUAUAUAUAUAUAUAUAUAUAUAUAUAUAUAUAUAUAUAUAUAUAUAUAUAUCGGAUAUAAAGUCAAAGAAAACUUGUAAUACAUUAUACAUCAUGACUUGUUAAACAUGGAAAAAUAUUAUAUCUAUAUUGAAUAUUUAUUAUUUAUAUGGUUUUGAAUCAUCAACUUCUAAUAAAUUAUUUAUAAAUUAAACUUGGCAAUCUCAAGAUGAUGAGCAUCUGGUAGUUGAGAUUUUUUAAGCCAUUCAUUUAUGACCGGUCAUUAAUUUGUGCUGUAUUAUUGAUCUGACGUCUAAUUUAAUGAUACUUAAGUUUAUUUAUUUUAGAAAGUUUAUAUCAUUAAUUCAAAGGUUGGAAUUAUAUGUUAAGAGUUAAUUGCAUUUACUAUCCAUGUAAAAAUCGCAACUGCGCGAUUCCCCCAUGUCAUAAAAAAAUUGGCGCCGUUAUAUGCAUGUCCAUUUUUUUAUUAGUUCAAAACCACAUAAAUGAGUUUAUUAGUUCAAGCCCGUAAAUUAAUCUAAUUUUAUUACAUCAAGACCAAAGAUGACAAAUAUACCCUUAUCCACAAAUAAUACUCAAAUACAAAUAAAUCUUAUUUUUAAUUUGUUCAAGACCAAAAAAAAAUUAAAAAAAAAAAAGAAAACAAAACAAAAAAGAAAUAUCACGACGGCUAAAUAUUAAUCUAUGCUAAAUAUGUAUGAACGAACAUUAAUCUAUGCUUAUUUCUUGUUGGGUUGCAAUGAUUUGGCCGAUUUUGGAAAAAAAAUUAAGAUUGAAAUUGGUUUUUUUAUUUUUUUCGUUGGUUUCCCAAAUCGGUUUAUCCAGACCGAUUUUGUACACGAAAAUCGGCGUCAUAAUACCAAUUUUUGUUAACCAAAUCGGCGACACAACGUCGACUUUACAAGUCAAAAUCGGCGUUCUAAUGUUGAUUAUUGAGUACAAAAUCGGUUUUCGAAUACCGAUAUUUUUUGAAUUUUUUUUUUAAAUAAUACAUUAUAUAUUUGGUUAAUUGAUAUUUUUUAAAUAUUUGAAACGAAAAUGUUUAUCACCAUUCGGUGGCGUCUACCACUCCUUUAACCCAAUCGAGUAGAGCUUUCCGUAUCUCAAUUAUUUAUUCGUUAGAUAUAUAUAUGUGUAUAUAAAUCGAAGAUAUAUAUAUGUGUAUAUAAACGAAAUAUAUUAUGUAUAUUGUAAUUCUGCAAACUACAAAAUAUAUAUUAUACGAAAGCUACAGAUGAAAUUGAAAGAUGUAAAGUGUGUAUUUACUGUAAGGACUUUAGCUACUGUAUUUUGGAAGAAGUGUGUUUCUUCAUUGAAUUAAUCAUCUAUUUAUAUACAUCAUCAGGGAGUAUAAAACUUCCACGUAUACAAAUACAUGUACUGAUCUAAUUUGCUAAAAUGCUACGGACAUAUCUAGAAGUCCCAUGUAUGCACAUCAUGCAAUCACGUGCAAAGCCAUUGUAUCACAUGCAAAGGAGCCAUUUUAUUGGUUGCUUGAGUCCAUGUAGAUAUAACAAACAAUACUAAGAUAUUUGUUCCUAUUUUACAAUUUAAUUUGAAAUAUUUUAAGAAUUUUGUUAGAAAGUAAUAGAAAUAAUACUAAUUAGAAUAUAAAAAAGCCUGGGACUAAGUAAAAGUGUUCUAAAAGUUAUAUAUUCUUAAUUAUAUAUACUAAUGAUAACUUAUUGAAAUGCGUAAGUUACGUUAGUUAGAAUAAUUUAUUUGUUAGUUUGGUUGACUGCAAAUAUAAAUGAAAUAGUUGAGUUAAACUUUAUGAUUAUUUUAUGGCGAUGUGAUAAAUGUCGUCGUUCACUUUUAAAAAUACAGUUUUGACUUCAAACGUGAUCUUGACUCGUAUUAAGGUUGAAUUUGGCAAAACUCAAACUGAAUGUUUAGUUCUUUAAUGAGUUAACUUUCUAAUCCAACUUGAAUACUAAGAUUGGAUGUUGGAUGAAAACGAUAUGAAUGAAUCAAUGAACAUCGUCUAAAUUUCAAAGUGUAAUUCAUUAAUGCAUAAUUGUCUCAUCCGACGUUCAAUCUUGUUUAUUCAAGUUGCAUAAUUCAGCCUAAAACAUGGUCAAAAUCAUAUUAGAAGUCAAAAUGAUAUUAGUAAAAUUAAAAUGACAUUAAACAUUUCAGUUAGUUUAUAUCUUUGUUUUUUUUUUAAAUCCUAGAUAUCUUUGUUUUGUAAAUUUUUUUAUAAAUAUAAGUAUUAAAAAUUUGGGAUAAAUACAUAUUUUUAAAUAAAUUAUAUUGCAUUAAACACAAUAAUACUAAUAUAUAAUAUCCCAUAAAACUAAGCUUGGUUUAGGUUGUUUAGCACACUCCUUAAACACUAUUUAAGGAUAUUAAAGUCUUCCAAUAUAGAUUGAAGGAAGACGAAUAUCAAGGGUUUUGGAUUUUGAGUCUUUCUAUGACUCUUAAGUUAUUUGAGAAAUUGUUUCAAUUGCCCAUCUUUGAAAUGACCGAAGUAGUUUGUUGGCUAAGAUUCACUGUUAAUCAUUAAAUACUAAUCAAUAUUGGAAAUUAAUUUGUGUACCAUUUUAAUGUCACUAGGCCAAAUUUUUCAGGCGAUGUUUUCGUUGCGACGAUAUUGUAAACGUCGCUCAUAUUGCGACGUUUCUUAACAUAUCGUCGCAAUAAUGCAUAAUUUAAAUUCAAAUUCUAAAAAAUGAGUAAAUAUUGCGACGCUUCUAAAUUACGCCGCAGGAAUCAUCGCAAACUUUUAAACGAAAAGUUCCCGGAAGAAAAGGCGACUAAUCGGUUACAUACGUCGCAAUUUUGCGACGUUAUUGUAAAUAGUCGUCGCAAGAGAAAAAAAUAUUUUUUAUUUUUUUUAAUUAAUAAUAUUUGCGAGAUAAUUAUGAAACGACGCAAGGUGAUUGGAAAAUUGGCGACGUUUAUAUAUUAUUUCGUCGCAAUGUUUUCCAAUUAAAAAUUUCUAAAUUUGUUUUGCGACGUAAAUAAUGCAAUGGAUUGAAACGUCGCAAUAUAAUUGGUUUUUUUUUCACAAUUUUUCUGUUGCGAUGUUUAAUUAACUAAAGUCGCUAUUUUAUUUUCAUAAGUUUGUUGUGGCGACUAAAAUAUAGGAAAACGUCGCAAGGAAAUUUUCGGUCCUGCGAGUAUUAAGUAUAAACGUCGCGAAACCAAAUUAAAACCCCUUUCCCCACCCUAAUUUCAGAACACGUUUGCCCAAGUCCGUCUCUUCCCAAAUCACAGCUGCUCCCACACCCCUCCUCCGCCGAAGCAAAUCAGUCCGCCGUCGCCGUCGCCGUCGGUGUCGCGGCUGACGGCAUAAGGCCUUGUGAUAGCCACCGCCAAAAUCCCUCUAUCUCAGCUCCUCCUCCGUCUUCCACACCGCCGCCGCCGCUUCAAUAUUCUCCACAAAAAUCCUCCCCCAUCGUGCCGACGACAUCACCGGUUACUAAGGCCGAGCCACCACCGAAGCCUUCUUCUCCCGCUCCUCCUCCCUGUUUCGCACCACCGCUGCCGCUCCCGCUCCCGCCGUCGGAGCCGUGGGACUUGCCGUAAGUUUUUUUAUUUAUUCUGCAUAAUUAUAUUUUAUAUAUUUUAUUAUCAAUGAUUCAUGAAUUAUUAUUAUUAGAAAACAAAAGAAAAAUUAUUUCUUUAAAAAAAAUAAAAAAAAAUCGAAAUAAUGUUGACAGCUUCAAUUUCAUUGAAUUAAUGUGAAGGUGGUUGAAGGGGCAAGAACGUGAGGAGCAUCAAGAAUUAUUGGAGUUGACAUUAAUCCCGAUAAAAUUAUUAAAGAUAUCAAAUUAAAUUAAUAAAUAAAUAAACUCGCCAUUUAAUUUAUUGUACUAUAGUAUAUUCAUCCACUUGGAGUAAUUAAUAAUCAAUAAAUUAUGAAAUUUUGUUUUAAUAGGUAAAGCAAUUGGGAUCACAAACUUCAUAAAUCCCAAGGAUUUGAACAAGCCACUGCACGAAUUUGUAGAGGGUAAGUUAAAUUAUUUUAUGUAUAUAAAAUCUUUGUUAAAUUAUUUUAUAUAUAUGUGCUUUGUUAAAUUAUGUACACAUUAUUAAUUUAGAAUUUUGUUUAUUAAUUGUUGAUGAUGAUGAUACUAAGCAGUGAUAUUAAUGGGAAUGGUUAAUAUAAUGGUAAAUACAUAACAGUGAUCACAUUUGUCAAUCUCUCUCUAACCCAUAACAGUUUCAAAUACUCUUUAUAUGCUAGCAAUAUUUUAUUAACUUCAUCAGGCUAAGUAUAAGUAAGAUAUGGGCAUUUAACACACAUAAUUUCAAAUAUUCAGUUUAAUCAGUUUCCUAAAUUUUUAAUUGUGUAAAAUAUAUUAAAAAUUUAAAUUAAUUUCAGUAAUUAAUAGUUAAUACGGUGUCAAUUAAAUAGUUUAAAAAACGGGUCCCAUAAGAUACCAAACUUACACUUGAAAGAGAUCACAAUAUUAUUUUCAAAAUAUUUUUUCCCUAUUAUAUAUAUACUCCGAAAUUAAAUUAUUCCGAGAGAGACGAAUAUAUAAAUUUAACUCUCUCGUUACCUUCUAUGUUCCUCAGUUGCGAAUAUUUUCUAACUAAAAAUGCGGAAGGAUAGGAGUUGGGUUUUGCUAGAUGAUCAUCGAUUAGACGCAUUUCAAAAUGGUUGUUUAGAAUUUCUCAACUUUGCUUUCGAUAAGGCGGCCAUUGAUGACAAAAUAAGGUGUCCAUAUAGAGACUGCAAAUGUCGAAAAGUCGGGGAUCGUGAAUUCGUUCAUGAGCAUUUACUUUGGAGGGGCUGGGAUAAAUCCUAUGGCGAAGGACAAUGGGUAAUGCAUUUGGAGUCUGAUGAAGAGUACCGUCCGGAUCUUUGCGAAGUACCCGAAGAAGAAGCUAGUGAAGUAGGGGGGUUUGGUGCUGUACAUGUGAAUGAAGACGAUGACAUGAGUGCCGAUAUUAAUCCCACAAUGGAUGAAUUAUUGCAAGCAUGUCUCAAUCCUACUCAACAUGCCCUAGGUGAAGAGUCCAGCUCAGAAAGUGAUGAUCGCCGCAAACUCAUUGAAGAGUGGUGUAUCCCCUUAUAUGAAGGUUGCACAGAUAAUUCUAAACUUUCCUUCAUGAUGGAUUUUUACAAAAUCAAAUCUCGGGGUAAAAUGAGUGAUAAGACAUUUUCAGAAACCCUCCAACUUAUGAAAAAGAUUCCUUCCCUAAAUAUUCCCGAUUCUUCCUAUGAAGUUAAGAAGCUUAUCGGGAAGUUGGGAUGCGGUUAUGUCAAAAUUGAUGCAUGUGAGAAUGAUUGUAUGUUGUUCUGGAAGAAUGACAAAGACUUGGACAAAUGCAAAGUGUGUAAUGUUUCAAGAUGGAAGAGUCCCACAAAAAAUGAACCAAGUUGUUCAACCUCUCAUCACAAAAGAGUACCUAAGAAAGUUCCCCGACACUUCCCGUUAAUUCCUAGACUCAGACGUUUGUUCAUAUGUGAGAAAACAUCAAUUCAUAAGAGAUGGCAUGCUGAGUCUCGGUGUAACGAUGGUUGUUUAAGGCACCCUGCCGAUUCUGAUGGCUGAAAGAAUUUGAUAAGAAGCAUGAUUCAUUUGCUUCAGACCCCCGAAAUGUAAGGCUCGGCUUGGCUACAAAUGGAUUCAAUCCAUUUGGAUCAUUGAGUAGUAAGUAUAGCACGUGGCCGGUUAUUCUAAUGACUUACAACUUACCACCAAAUAUGUGCAUGCAGCGUUCUUUUAUGAUGAUGUCUUUGCCUGUUGAUGGUAGUGAUAGUGAGAUUGGUGGGGGUGAUGGUGAGCGACAAGUAGAUCAAAGAGGAAAGCCCAAACUACGUGCCAUUGCGGUAAGUUAAUAUUUUAGUUGUAUCGAUGCUUUAUUUGCUAUUUUGAACAUGUUUGGGUUGUAUUGUAGUUGAUGGAUUAUGGAUUUAUUUCGUACUUAGGUAUCGAUGAAUUGUGUAAUGUAGUUGGUGGAUCUUUACGUGAAUUGAGUAAUUGUGUCUAUUAGGUUCUCUAAUGAAGUUGAUGCUUAUUUUUGUUGAAUUGUUAUUUUAUUUCCUAGUUGAGCAUAUGUUGGUUGUUUAAUGUAGUUGGUCGAUCUUUAUAUAUAAAAUCUUGUGUUUUUGUUUACUUGAACAUCUUUGGGUUGAGCAAUGUAGUUGGUAUAUUUAUAUAUGUUGGUUGUUUAAUGUAGUUGGUCGAUCUUUAUGUAUGAAUUAUUGUGUUUUUGUUUACUUGAACAUCUUUGGGUUGACCAAUGUAGUUGGUGUAUUUAUAUAUAUUGAUUGUUUAAUGUAGUUGGUCGAUCUUUAUAUAUGAAUUAUUGUGUUUUUGUUUACUUGAAAAUGUUUGGGUUGAGCAAAUUAGUUGGUAUAUUUUUAUUUGAAUUAUUAUUUUAUUUUAUACAUCGUAUCAAGUAAUUAGUGUUAAUACACUUUUUUAUAUUACUCAGGCGAAUUUGGACAGAGUCUAUCAAGAAUGUAUGAAUGAUGGGAGUGAUGAAAGCACCGCUAACAUGAUUGCUUGCGAACGAGUACUAGGAAAAACUAAAAGACUAGGACUUGGUUGCUCAAGUUCAAAGAAAGGGGCGAGGUCCAACUCAUCUUGCAUGUGUUGCUAGAGAUGAAGAAAUAGCGGCUUUUAAAGAAGACAACAAGACUUUAAAGGACGAGAUGAAUCAAAUGCAGAGUACUAUGAAAGCCAUGGUCGAAUAUUUUAGGGCUAAACGUGUCGAGUUCCAUCCCCAGAAUCCACCCGGCGACGACAACUAGUUUCCUCUACAACAUUGGUUUUGGGUACUUUUAUUUCAUGUUUGGAUGAUUUAAGUUGUUAUUUGGAUUAUCUUGUGUUUUGAUAGAAUUUUUGGAUGAUUUUAUGUUUUGGAAUGUUUCGACGAUUUUAUGUUUUGGAAGAAUGUUUUGGAUUAUUUAAUUUAAGCGAGUUGUUUAAUGUUUUUGUGUAUUUAAUUAUAUUGGAAUUGUUUAUUAUUACAGGUCAAAUAACAAUUAAAAUAAAAAUCAGUAAAAAUAUUAAAUAAAAAUAUUUAUAUAUUUGCGACGUUUUUUGGAUAUUAGUCGCAAUAGCAGAAAAAAAAUUUGCGACAGUAUUUAUAUAUUCGUCGCAAUGUCGUAACAAAAUUGUGCGACUUUAUUAAAAAAAGGACGCAAAGUUAAAAACAAUUGCGACGAAAUCUUUUCGGAAAAUAUAGUCGCAAAAACUUUGCGACGAUAUAUAUGUGUCGCGGUUGGUGGACGAAAUGUGCAACAUAUAGAUAAAUUCGUCGCAAUAAAUUAGCAGAAGAAAAAAUUACAACAUUGCGACGGUUACACUAAAUCGUCGCAAACAGUUGCGACUUAAAGGAAAAACGUCGCACAUAUUUGCGACGGGCACUUUUUUGACUUUUUUCCGGCAAAUUUUGUCGCAAAAUAAACGUCGCAAAAUUAUCGAUUCCGUCGCAAACGGGGUUUUACGUCGCAAAAAAACGUCGCCUGAAAUGUGUUUUGGCGUAGUGUGUUCACUUAAUUAAAAUGGGGAUUUUUGUGCAUAAGUCCCCAACCAAACAUCUUUAUUAUUCUAGGUUUAGGGGCUAUAUUUCUUUCACCAAUAAGCUCAUCUCUUUAAUAUUAAUUAUAAAUAAAGGAAACAUUCAAGCAUAUCCCAAUAUUACCCUCAACAAUUUAUACCAAAUUCUUAAUUGUAACUCCAAUUUAAUCAAUUUUGUCUACAAAAAUCCAAUUUUGACCACAAAAAAUCAAUAUUGACUUUUUUUGGCGGAUACUUUAAUAUGCUCCACUUUCAUACUUUAAUUUUCAUUUUUUUCUUUCUUUCGGAUUUUUCGUCGGUCUCCGGCGUUGACUUUUUUAUUUUUUUAUAUUUUUUAUUUUUUUUUCAUUUUUCUUUUCUUUUUUCGCCGGUUUUCGGCGUUGACCGGCGGUCUUCGGCGUUGAUUUUUUUUAGUGCUUUUUUUUUUUUUUUUUUUUUUUUACAUCCGCCGCUAAACGUUGACCGUAAUUGUGCUGACACUGACAGUAAAUUAACGUAAUUAUACUGUCAAUGACAGUUAAUUAACGUAAUUGUACUGCCGUUGAGGCGUUGACAAUACAUUUAUGUCAUUGUUCUGUCGUUGACAGUAAAUUAACGUAGUAUUAUUAUUAUUUUUUUUUGAUUUGUUGACAAGUCAACGUAAUUAUAUUACUGUCGUCGACAGUAAAAUAACUGUAAACACAAUAAUAUUACUGUAUAUUAUUGUAAUAUUACUGUAAACACAAUAAUAUUAUUGUGGUUGACGGUAAUAUUACUGUUGUUACAGUAAUAUUGCUGUCAACCACAUCAAUAUUAUUAUUUUGUUUGGAUUUUUUGUUUGUUUGAGUUAUUCACGGAGUAACGUAAUAAUAUUACUGUCUAUUAUUGUAAUAUUACUGUGGUUGACGGUAAUAUUACUGUUGUUAUAGUAAUAUUACUGUCACUCACAGUAAUAUUAAUUUUUUUGGCUUUUUAUUAUGUUUACAUUUGUUGAACGGUCAACAUAGUAAUAUUACUAUAUUACACAAUAAUAAUGAAUUUUGUUGUGUUAAUAUUACUGUGUUAGAGAUUAAUAUAGCAAUAUUACUGUGUUAAACUGUAUUUUAGUUAAUUUUACUGUGUUUAACAGUAAUAUAGUUAAUAUUACUGUCAAUCACAGCAAUAUUGCUGUUUAAACGAAAAAAAAAAGUUACAGAAAGAAAGAAAAGAAGAAAAAAAAAUUCGAAAAAGUCAACGCCGGAAUCCGGCGGAAAAAAAAAUUCUGAAAUUUUUUUUUUGGAAAAAAAAAAAGUUUUGAGUAAAAAUUGAAUAAUUUGUGAAAUUUGGGGUCAAAUUGAGGUUAAAUUAUGUUAAGGAUUAAAUUGGAGCAUAUUAAAGUAUGAGGUGUUAUUUUAGUCCUUUACAAAAAUCUGGACCAUGUGUCGACUUAUUGGUAAAUAAGAUUUUUGUCGGAUCUCUUUAUGAAUAAGUACCCAUUGAUGGGCUUAUUUAUUAUCAUCCCAAUUAAAAUUGAUAAAAUUAACCAAUAUGACUUUGUUGCCCCGUAAGAAGAAAACAUGGAAGUAACAAAUACCUAUAUUCAUCCUUCGUCCUUUUAUAAUAAGUAGAUAGAUAUAGAUAGAUUGGUUAAUUGGUGAAAUUGGCUAGUUAAUUGGUGAAAUUGGCUAAAUUAAGGUGUAAAUUAUGAAAUUGGAGUUGAAUUGAGUUUCAAUCAAUUGAGGGUAAUUUUGGUAUACGUAAAAGGGCUUUUCUUAUUUGCAAAUAAGAUUGAAUGAGAUGGAAAUAUUUAAAAGACAAAAGAGUUGGAAAUUAUUUUUUUAAUUAAGUACCCCUCUUAGAAGCCUUUUUGCUAAGGGAUAAUUAGCAAGAACCCCCUCAUCUAGGAAAAUGAGUUAAGAAAACACCUCAUCCAAAAAAUAAUUAGAGAAAACCCCUUUAACUAAUAUUCAACUCAUGUGAUAUUUUCAUAAUUCCAAGAUUACCCUUAAUUGUCUAUUAUACUCUUUUAAAACCCUAAUCUUAUUUUUAUUUUUUCAUCCGCCGUUUUCACGCUCCAACGUCUCUCUUCUUCUCUCUUUUCUCUUCUUCUUUGUUUUUUUUUCCUUUAUUUUCUCUGUGACUGCUCCGCCACUGUCGUCGCCGCCGCCGUCGCCAGGAGAUGGAGAAAGAAAGAAGAUGAAGCACCCAUCAAACAUUAUAAAUGAUUCUGAUAGCAAUUUUGAAUUCAAAUGCCAGGAAUGCUAUAGAUUGUCGAUUUGUCGCCGGAAUCUGAUUUUGAUGGGUGGUGGUUCUACUUUGGUUGGUGGUGCGAGUUGUGAUUUUAUUUAUUUAUUUGUAAUAAAAAAAUGUCAUAAUGUCAAAGUAAGGUGAUGAUGGUGUGUUGUGGCGGCGGUGUGGUGACGAUGGGAGACAGAUUUAAGGUUUUUUGGUGGAUCGGGCGGAGGACGGCGCCGGUAGAGAAUUUCGCGCAUGCUGAAACCUUAAUCGACUAUGUACAUGUUCAUAGUCGAUUAAGCUAAUCGACUAUGCUCUAGCAGUUGAUUAAGAUUGAUGGACUCCAAUUUUUUUUUUUUUGAACUUUCUGUUUAUUUAUUCCAAGUGUAUAAAUUAUUUAUAAUAUUUGUAUAUUUUUUUGUUUUUAUAAUGUAUAGUUGAUUUUAUAUUUUUUUCGCAGUUGUGAUUUGUUAUUUUUAGUAGCAGAUUCUUAAUCGACUAUGCUUCACAUCAUAGUCGAUUAAUAUACAUGAUGUAGAAAAAAAAAAUUAAAAAAUAAAAAAAAAUUAAAAAAAUAAAUAAUUUCCUUAAUCGACUAUGAAGCAUAGUGGAUUAAGGUUAAUCGACAAUGCUUCAUAGUCCAUUAAAGAAACUGAUACAGAAAAGGCGGAAAAAAAAACGGAAAAGAAAAAUAAAAAUUUGCUGAGCGCGUGACCCAAUGAUGAUGUGGCGGGGGGUAACGCUGAAAAACAUAAUGGCUGAAAAUGGGUGUGAGCUUUUCUCAAAUGUACUAAAAUAUUUUGGGCAUCCGUCCAUUAAAAAAAAUAGUGAUGGGUUUUCUCAAAGAACUCAUUUUGCUAAUUAUAACUCUUCUUAUCACUAAAUUGAAUUAAAGUAAAAAUGGACAUAAAUUUUCACAGAUCGAAGGUUUUAUCAAAUUUACUCUUACGUCCUCAUUUCUUGCACCACCACUAUAUCUGGCGGUCUCCGGUGGCCCCAUCAAAGAUAUUAUCGAAUCCAAAGAUAUACAGACUGUUUCUCUCAUAAGAAUUUAUGAGAUAUUUUCAAAUUUCUUGAUAAGAAUUUUAUGGCGACACCAGUUAUAUGAAAACUCAACCACACCUCCUUCUAGAGUAAAGAUGGAUUACAUUUACCAAUGAACAAUAAGUGGGUUCUUAUUAUUUAUUAAACAUAAACAAAUUAAUGUGUAUUGGGAAGAGAGAGAAAACUUAAGUCUUUUUUACUUCAAUUCAGUUUAGUGAAAAUUUUGGAAUAUUUUCAAAGUAAUUGCAGUGGUUUAGAAGAUAGUUAACUUCUAUAAAUGCAUCUGUUUUCUGGUAAGAUUGAGGGUCUUUUUCUAACACAAAAUAUGAUGGUACACAUGGUAAAUAAUUAAUUAAGGGGAUUCGCCUUAUUAAAAUUAAUUGGGGUGGUUAGUGUAAUAAUGAAUCUGGUUUGAACCCUAAAUGUAGCAUAAUAAUGAACCCUUUGACUUGCUGCUCUGGACGUCUUCUAUCUUCUCACGUUUGCUUUCCAAGCCACAUAUUUAGUCUUUCAUAUCCAAUACAAAAUGGGAAAAAGAAAUCUUUCCCAUUUUGGUAUAAUAAUUCCUGCGGCUGCCGACAGUGGAAAAAGAUAUCUCUCAUAUUUUGCUAUAAUAAUAUUCCUUUCACUAAAAAUACUAAUUUGGCGCAACAAAGAAAAAAAGACAUAAUGGAAUAUGAGUUUGGACUUGCUGCUCUUACCUUCAUUUUUCUUCUAGCGUCCCUAUUUUGUUACUCAUGGAUUGUACUACUCGGCAACUUAAAAACCGGAACCGAGCCACCACUUCCCCCCGGACCAUACGGCCUUCCGAUUCUCGGAUACCUCCCGUUUCUCAAAAACAACUUGCACCACCAGUUCACACAAUUGUCUCGCAAGUACGGCCCCAUUUACCGCCUCUGGCUCGGCAGCAAACUCUACGUCGUUGUAAGUUCGCCUUCAUUGAUAAAGCAGAUAGUUCGCGAUCAUGACUCCAUUUUCGCGAACCGGGACCCGCCGGUUUCGGCCCUAAUCGCCACGGGCGGGUACGACAUCGUGUGGACGGCAAACGGUCCGUACUGGCGCGACAUGCGGAAGCUGUUCGUUCGUGAGAUGAUGACCAACACCAACCUCCAGGCUUCCCACGUUUUCCGCACGGAGGAAGUGCGGAAACUUAUCGGGAAUCUCGAUACGAAAAUCGGGAGUCCGGUUCAAAUCGGGGAACUCAUUUUCCUGACGGAGCUCCACGUACUCACGAGCUUGCUCUGGGGCGGUGAGAUGGACCCCACGGAGCGUAGCAGGCUCGGAGUUGAGUUUCGGGUUCAUAUUUCGAAACUGGUCGAUUUGUUUGGAAAGCCUAAUGUUUCCGAUUUUUUUCCGGUUCUUGCCAAGUUUGAUUUUCAGGGAAUCGCAAAAGAAACGAAAGCUGUGGUGGUGGAGGUGGAACGAAUUUUGGAUUGUAUUAUUGAUGCAAAAUUGAAGAUCAUGGCGGCUGGUGGUGGUAUGGAAGGGCGUAAGGACUUUGUGGGAAUUCUUUUGGAGCUCAAGGAUAAGCAACUCGGGGAAACCUCAACAUUCGGUUUAACUCAAAUCAAGGCAAUUUUGAUGGUAAUUUUCUCCACAUUUCAUUUUCUUGUUGGUUUAAUAUGUUACUCGAUGCUAGAUUUGACACCGUUCAGUAAAAGCUUGUUUCGACUCGAUUUGUUAACAUAACGAAACAAACUUCAACACAUAUACUUUUGUUAUUGAUAAGGUUUGAAACUCGAUCUUUUUGAGUCGGGGAAAAAAGUUAAAAUCAAACUACUCGAUUUUGAUUAAUUCGUGCGCUAACCUCUAAUGCUUAUUAAUCCAAGCUCAGACACAUAUAUACUCAAUGCGCUUAUGCGUGUGCCCCUAGUUCUGUUGCUUCUGGAAUAUAUAGGAGAAUUAGUUUUUGUGUUCAAAUGUGAAGGAACAAAAACCGCUAACCAUUUUUAUAGGCAUAAACCCUCUUGUGAUCCAAAGUCAAGACAAAUAUACUCUUUGAAGCUAACAAUGUAACUCUCUUUGUGAUUCUCUUUCAUUGAAAUGGCAUAAAAUAUGCUCUUUGAUUAUAGGAUAUUGUUGCCGGCGGGAGCGAUACUACGGCAACGAUGGUCGAGUGGGUGAUGACCGAGCUUUUGCACAACCCGAGUAUAAUGCAAAAAGUGCAGCAAGAAGUAACAAAUGUUGUAGGAGCGAACAACGUCGUUGAAGAAUCCCACGUAUCGAAACUGCACUACCUCGAAGCGGUUGUAAAGGAAACAUUCCGCCUACAUCCUCCAUUGCCACUCCUCGUUCAAAGGUAUCCGAGUGAAUCUUGCACGAUCGGAGAGCACACAAUCCCAAAGGGGUCAAGGGUCUUCUUGAACAUGUGGUCAAUCCACAUGGACCCGCAAGUUUGGGAGAAUCCUUUGCAAUUUCGACCCGAGAGAUUUUUGAAUGAUAACUCCGAAAAAUUUGAUUUCAUUGGAAACAACGUUGAGUAUCUUCCGUUCGGAUCGGGGAGAAGGGUGUGCCCUGGUAUUCCGUUGGCUGAGAAGAUGGUAAUGUAUUUGUUGGCUACGCUCGUUCAUACGUACGAGUGGGGGUUGCCGGAGGGACAUAAGAUUGACUUGUCGGAGAAAUUUGGGAUUGUCAUGAGGAAAGAAACACCACUAAUUGCUGUUCCUUAUCAUAAAUAACCAAAUACGAACUUGUAUGCAUAAUUAUAUUAUGUUUCUUGUAUCUAUCAUGUUACCUUGGUGUACCAAUUAUCGGUCACUUUAUUCUAUAUUUUGAUGAUCCUACAUCACAAAUCACAAUACUCGUAUAUUUCUCACUUUAUCUGCCCAUUAAUUGGUAUACUUACUUGCUGGAAAAUGAAAAAUUAGAGUAGGAUUAGUAAUUUUUGGAUUUAUUUUGAUUUAUUUUAAUUUUCUGAAAAAAAAUUACGUCAAUAUUUUAUAAUAUAUUGACGUUCAUGUUGCCAAAUUUCACCCAUGUAUAGGACGGGUGAUAUUUUUGGUAUUAAAGAUCUUGUGUGAAGUAGUUUCAAAAUUUAGGUGUUCUGUUCAAUUGGUAUUUUUUGGACCCACAAUAGUUGUAACCGUCCCUAUGUCAGGAAAAACCGUUGGGGUUGUUCACUGUCCGAACGGUACCGAACCAAAAAAUCAUUUUGGUAUUCGGUAAUUUAUUUUUUGAAUUUUGGUAUUCGGUACGGUAUAUGGAUUUGAUGUCCGGUAUACCGAGCCGUACCGAACACAUAAAUAUGUAAAAAAAAAAAAGAAUUCUUUUAUUUUAAAUCCUUGAAGGUUAACAAAUUAUAAAAUGCUUAUAGAUUGAUAAUUUUUUUCCAUUAUUUCCAAAUUAGCCUCUAUUGAUAAUCACUUUUUUUAUUUUAUUUUUAGGGCCGAUUAUUGAAACUUGAAUGUCAAAUUCAAGAAUUAAUUAGCUUAAAUAUAUUUUUUUUUACCUUUUUAAAAAUAAGAAAAUAUGUUUUCAAUUUUACCGGUAUCGAACUGCAAAAACCAAAUUAAUUCGGUAAAAAAAAUGUAGCGAACGGAGUAGUUUGAUACAGUAAAUGGUACAAUCUUUUUACGUACAGAAAUUCCGAUACGGUUUGAUGUAGUUUGAAUUUAUGAGCACCCCUAAAAAAACGCUAUCUCCUUUCUCAUAAUAUCCAAAAGUCAACAUCUAUUUCAAGCAUUACUUCAAAAUAACCUUAAUAACUUUUGUAGGGGUAUAAUUGUCUUUUCAAAUACCUAAAAAUUACUAAAUUUUUUUGUUCUUCCUUGUUUCCCUCCAUUUAAUCUCUUCUUCCUUCUCCAUUUUCUACGAAAGCGGCAUCCCCCAAAACACCUUGGAGCAGCCAAAUCUGAGGGAAUUGAUAAUCUUGUAUUUGCAAUUGGAAUUUGAAACAAAGGAUGCCAACUUAGGCAUUUCGGAUAAACCAAUAACAAAUGUUAAAAAUCAAAUCACCUCUUUCUUCGUCUAUCACCAAACCUAUACUCUACAAAACCUAUACAAAUAAAUACACAUCGAUGUAGACAUAUAGAUUAUAGACAAUGGUGUAACAAGGAAGGGGCAACCACCCCUCCAAGAAAAUAUAAAAUCAUUUUUUUAACUUACUUUUUGGCAUAAAAUAAUACAACUAAAAUUCAUAGUUUUUAACUAAAUAUUAUAAAUAUAUACUAAUUUUAGCAAAUGUUUUUGAAUAACUCUAAAAGAAACCCGGGAAUGCUGCCCCCGAACACCCGAAAAAUUAACCUACCUACAUAUAUUAUUUCCGAAAAAAAUCGCCCCCUUACAAUACUGUCUGAAUGCGCCCCUGCAUAUAGAAGUUGAGAUUCCUUGAUGUAAUAAAACCCAAACAACACAUCAUGUUACUUCUAAGUUCUAAGUAUUGGGUAAAUGACAAAUAGACCCAUGACACAUGGACUUAACUAAAAAAGGGACAUCCAGUUUUUUUGUCUUGCAAAAAAACCCACUACUUAAAAGUUUAUUAAAAUCAAGGCCAGGGUAUUUUUUCGGACAUAAUUUCACAUGUAUAUAAACUGAAAAUUGAAAUCCGUACGCCCGUUUUGUCAUGUUUUAUGCGCGAUUCUUGUCUCUUCUCUACCGAAUUCCUCUCUAUACCUCUACAUCUCGGAACUGAGCCACAUCUACCUGUUUCACAUCGGAUCUCGCCGUUAUCCGGCCGUCCUCUCCAGCUUUUAUCGCCGAUCAUAUCUGGUGUAGUAUAAUUUUCAAGGAAGGUGUGUCAAAUUUUUUGAUCUGCAUGCGAGUGUUUUUUUUAAGUUACGAAUGUCAACAUCGAGAUAUGUAUAGUUUGAAUUGUAGUAAAUUGAACACCAUGAUGUAUGGGCUUUCAAUGUCUGUUUGCACAAAUGUUUAUUUUUCUUUUGUAUUUUUGUUUUCACGCUAUGUUUUUUUGGAAGUGUUUAUAUAAUGUUGGUGUUAUUGGCAGUAUAAUUGAGUGUAUCUGUUAUUUCGCUGGUUGGUUAUGUAAUUUGACUGUUAUUAGCAGUAUAAUUAUAUUUUGCUAUGUUUGUUUGCAAGUGUUUAUAUAAUGUUGUUGUCAUUGGCAGUAUAAUUGAAUGUAGACGCGGAUUUGCUGGAUGUAUUAGUAAUGUGACUGUUAUUAAUAAUGUAAUUAUGCUUUGCUAUGUUUGUUUGCAAGUGUUUAUAUAAUGUUGUUGUCAUUGACAAUAUAAUUGAUUGUAUACGCGGAUUUACUGGAUGUAUUAGUAAUGUGGCUAUUAUUAACAGUGUAAUUAUGUUUUGCUAUGUUUGUUUGCGAGUGUUUAUAUAAUGUUGCUGUCAUUGGCAGUAUAAUUGAAUGUAUACGUGGAUUUACUGGAUGUAUUAGUAAUGUGACUAUUAUUAAUAGUGUAAUUAUGUUUUAUAUGAACUUGCAGGAUGACUAGUUCUAUAGUGUUGUUGUUGAGAUAUGGUGCAUUUUGUUCGAUCACAAAUUUUACAAGAGGGAUGAGUUUUUCCAGUCUUGUGCAUUUUUUUUUUGUUCAAGAUGGAAUUCUUGAAGUGUUGAUAACAUGUCAUUAUCGUACUUUGUCCCUGAGAUUGGUGUUUUUUCAAUCAACGAUGAUGAAGAUGUAAAAGGGUUAUUUAUUAUUGUGGAAUAAUGGUUGAUUCAAAGGAUUGAAAUUGUUGUGAAGGAAGUUCAUGCAUCUCUCGGUACAUCCAAUACUAGUUACAGCUCUAUGGUAGGUUCAUCCGGUCUGCUACCUCUCGCUGCAUUGGAAGCGGUAGUUACUCCCCCAUGCAACCCAUUACGUGCCAUUGGCCCCCAAAAGACUUUGCUUAGCUCACAUUGGAUAAAUCUGAUAACCGACGUCGGACAAUUUUUUCGUGGUGGACGUUCAUAAUUUAGAAUAUGUCUAGCUUAGUUUGCGUAUGAGCUUGGAUUUGGAUUCGAUUUUAUCAAAAACGAUACGUAAAGAGUGACUGUAGUUUGUAAGCUUAGAGAGUGGCAUAAUUGUUUGUGGAGAAUUCAUGCUACAAUUUAACCUUCAACCGGAUAUUGUAUUAUUCGCAUGCACGAGAAAAACCACACGUGUGAGUUGGCUAGCGCUGUCAAGAAGGGAAGAAUGAGCGUUAAGCUCGCAGCUGAUUUAAUCGUGGAGGAUAUUCGGGAUAAGCCGCUGAUGUGUCCUAACGACGUUAUUCAUGAAGCAAAAAAGAAGUAUGGGAUUGAUAUUAACUACAAUAAAACAUGGAGAGCUAUGGAAUCUAGUUGAAGUUUUGUAUUUGGAGAUGAUGGAAUAUCUUAUUCGUACCUCAAGGCGUAUUUUGAAGAAGCUGGGCGUUGCAAUCCAGACAGUGUCAUUCACCUGGAAGUUGAUGAGAAGUAUAACUUGUUCAAUCGUUGUUUCUUCAAUUUUGGUGCUUGUCUAUCUGGAUUUAAGUUUUGCUGUCCGAUUCUUUUUUUGGAUGGUACUUUUCUGAAGGGUAGAUACAAAGGUAUUCUUUUGAGCGCCAUCACGAAAGAUGCAGGGAAUGAUAAUUUUGUUGUAUUACAUUCUUUGUUCCAGUCCACAUAUAUCUGUUACUGUUAAAGAUAUAUAGUGUAUUAAGGUUAUAUUACUAUCACAUAUAGUUUUAUAUGGCUCUUACAGAACAGGUGUUCAUGAAAUGACAAGUUUUUUUUACAUCGAUUUACCCUGUUUCAGGUCCUUAUCUAGUGGCAUUCGUCGUUGUGCACGAGGAAAAUGAUUCAAACUAGGAUUGUUUCAUGAAACAUUUAAGAUGUUGCAUUAGCUCAGAUCGUGUUCUGACAUUCUUAUCCGAUCGGCAGCACGAUAUAUUGGAAGUUGUGAGAAAUAUUUCCCGAAUUGUCACCAUUCGUUCUGCUUAUUUCAUUUAGAGACUAAUUUGAGGUAUAAGUUGAGUGGAAUGAGCUCUAGUUAUAGAGAUAUUCUAGUUAGUCAGUUGAUAGCAUGCACGUAUGCUCCCACUAAGGAAAUCUUUCAUGAGAAACUUUAGAAAUUUAAAAUUGAUGGUUGAAGGAAAGUUGUUGAUUUUCUGUCAGAUUUGCCUUUUGAAAAUUGGAAAAAUGCGUAUUUUGAGGGGCAUAGGUAUGGUGAGUUGUAUUCGAAUGUUGUGGAAUCAUGAAAUGGUACAAUAACGAAAUUCCGACAUUUCGAUUACCCAUAUGAUUGACAUCAUUAGGGGUUAUUUAAUGGAUAAAAUUUGCUAGAGGUCUGCAAAAGCGAGUGUUUGGACUACGAUCAUUUGUCCAAAGAUGGAAAUUAUUUGAAGGGCUUGUGACGAAAAUGGGAGGACAUGAACAGUUAGAAAAUCAAAUCAGACUGUCUUUGAAGUGCAUUUAGACCCUCACGAGAUUGUGGAUUUGUUUGCUAGAAUGUGCACAUGUCGGGAUUGGAAGCUUAAAGGAAUCCCUUGCUGUCAUGUGGUUGUGGUUCUCAAAAAUAUCCCCACCGGUGAACGAUGUGGGUACGUUGACCCCUUAUUUUAUGCCUGCAAUUUCAGAUCUACUUAUUCUUUUUCGAUUUACCCAUUUAUGGUGGACUUUACAAAAGUUGAGCAGCCAGUUGUUGGACCUCUAGUAUGACAAAAUUACCAUCAACCCGUUACACACAAUUCUUAAUUGUAACCCCAAUUUAAUCAACUUUGACCACAAAAAUCCAAUUGUGCCUUUUUUUUUUUACUUUUUUUUUAUGAAUUAUUUUUUUGCAGCCGAUUUUCGGAGUUGACUUUUUCGAUUUUUUUUUCUGGUCUGCUUUUUCGCCUCUGGUUUCCGGGCAUGCGUUGUUUUUUUCGGUUUUUAUUUAUUUAUUAUUAUUUUUUUCCGCAGCCGGUCUCCAGCGUUGACUUGUUUUUAGUUAUAUUUUUUCUCUAAAAUUGUUAUCCGUUUUUUACCCCCGUCGCUAAACAUUGACCGUAAUUGUACUACCAUUAAUAGUAAUCAUAUAGUCCCUGACAGUACAUUAACGUAAUUGUACUGUCAUUGACAGUAUAUUUAUGUAAUUGUACUGUCAUUGACAGUAUAUUUAUGUAAUUGUAUUGUCGUUGACAGUACAACUAGAGACCGCGGCAAUAUUAUUAUUUUUUUGGGCCUUUUUUUUUUUAUUUGUUGACAAGUCAACAUAAUUAUAUUACUGCCGUUGACAGUAAAAUAAGUGUAAAAAUAAUAAUAUUACUGUCAACCACAUCAAUAUUAUUUUUUUUGUAUUUUUUGUUUUGUUUGAGUUGUUGAGGGAAUAACAUAAUAAUAUUAUUGUCAACACAAUAAUAUUAUUGUGGUGGACGGUAAUAUUACUGUUGUUACAGUAAUAUUACUGUGGAUGACAGUAAUAUUAAUUCUUUUGGCUUUUUACUAUGUUUACCUUUGUUGAACAGUCAACAUAUUAAUAUUACUCUAUUACACAAUAAUAAUGAUUUUUUUGUGUUAAUAUUACUGUACUAGAGAUUAAUAUAGCAAUAUUAAUGUGUUAAACCGUAGUAUAGUUAAUAUUAAUGUAUUUAACAGUAAUAUAGUUAAUAUUACUCUCAACCACAACAAUAUUGAUGUUUAAAAGGGGGCAAAAGGAUGUUAAAGAAAAAAAAAAUUGAAAAAGUCAACGCCGGAAACCGGCGGAAAAAUCAGAAACAAAAAAAAAAAGGUCAACGGCGGCGACGGGCGAAAUUGUACUCAAAAUUGUAUUUUGGGUCAAAAUUGAAUAAUAUGUGAAAUUUUGGUUCAAAUUAAAAUUAAAUUAAAUUAAACGAUGAAAUUGAAACAUAUUAAAUUGUGAAGGGUCAAACUGCAUCCAGAGAACUAAUGGUGGUUUUUAAUUUUUUAUCAUUUGGAUCGCAUUUAUUAGUGUUAGAGAAUAUUAUAAUAUAGAACUCUUGUAAUAUUAGGAUCCUAUUAUGAUUCGUUUACCUAGAUUAAUUAUGAUUUAGUUACCUAGUCAAACUCUAUUACCUUGUAAUAUUUUUCUAUAUACGUAUUAUUAUUUCUCUUCUCUUCUUCUCCAAUUCUAUUCUUCCUAUAUGGUAUCAGAGCACUAGGUUUAGGUUUUUUAGCCUAGCUGCCUUUCUUCUCCAUGGCGGUGAAAACCUAGCCGUCUUUCUUCUACAUGGCGGUGACCACCCAAUUUUCUCCCUCCCCGGUGGUGGUACUCUAAUAUUUUUUCUUUUUUCUAUCUUUUCCAUUCACAUCACCCGAAUUUUCUCCCUCCCCCGGUGAUGCAUCUUCUUUAUCUUUUCUUCUUCUUCCUCUUCUCCAUGGCUUAAAACAUAGCCGCCGCCGCCUCUCUUCUUCUCGAUGGCCGGCGACCGGCCACCAAACCAAUUAUCUCCCUCCCGGUGGUGGUACUCUUCUCUCUAUCUAUCUUUUUCUAUCUUUUCCAUGAACACCACCCAAUUUUCUCCCUCCCCGGUGGUUCAUCUUCUAUCUUCUUCUUCUUUUUUUUCUUCUCCUUGGUCUAAGACCUAGCCGCCGCUUCUCUUCUUCUCCAUGGCCGGCGAACACUACCCAAUCUUCUUCCCCCCUCUCUCAUAUCUUCUAUCUAUCUCGAUAAAAAAAAAAGGUUGCUUAUUUUUCUCUCACCCGUUAUUAUUUUUUUUUUUUUAUCAAUUGGACAAAUAUUUCCACAGAGAAAUUCUCUAGCGUUGUGUUUCGCGGUUUCUGUCCAGUCUUCACUUUUGAAGUUUAUUCCACUACAACAUAUAUGGGUUUAGGCGACGCAAAAAAACCGUCGAGAAAGAGUACAAAAGCGUCGGGAAUAGUUUUCCUGAUAGUUUCAGACCGUCAGAAAACCGUCAAGAAAAAAGGCGUCGUAUAUACUUUUACAUAUAAAAAAACCGUCAAGAAAAGUUUUUCCCGACGCUUUAAAACCGUCGGGAAUACUUAUAUGAUUUUUUUUCCGGUGCUUUGAUGACCUAUUUUCUACAUAAAUAUAUACCUAUAUUCUAAUGCACUAAAAAUUGUAAACAUUUAAAUCCUUCUGCAAACAAUCAGAAGCUACUAUAAAAUAAUUUAUAUCAAGCAAAAUCAUUUAAAAUAAUAAAUUAUGUCAAACAACAAUCUCAUCGUUUGUACAAUUUGUAACACAUUAAUUUAGCCAUUCUUCCAACUCUCUAUUUCCAAUCAACUAUUUCUAUUUCUAUCACAAAACCCUACGCACCAAUCUUCGAUGUUUUCAAGUUCCUUCACAACUCUUAAUUUGAUGAAUAUGAAAGUUUAUCAGCAGCUACAGGUGGAUUCUCCUGCAAUAGAAAGUUCUCAGUUAAUACUUGAGACAAACUUUAAAAAAUAGUACUAAAUUAAUCAAAUAUACGAAACUGAUGGAAAUUUCCAUGGUUCACAACCAAAAACAGAAUUGAAAACUAAUGAUACCUGCCAAUGCACACAUCAUUAGAACCCAUGGUAGUAUUCCUUUAUGGACAACAAUAGCCUAUAUACAAAUAUUACACUUAAAUGGUCAGAAAAGCUUUAGUGUAGCUAUACAAUCUCUGUAAUGUUCAACUCAGAUUGUUCAAGGAUGGUUUCGUAUGACACUUUGACUACUAUGAGGGUUUUGUUCUGUCCAAAGUAACACACAAAGAAUUAAACAUUUUAUUGAAAACAAUGUAUGUGUACCAUAGAAGAACAAGAAAUAAACCUGGAAGUAUGAUAAAUUUUACCGUCCACCUCAGCUACAAUCAAUAACCUACAAAAGCCAAAACGGAAACAGACCAUUAGGGAAUAAUAAAUCUUUUCAGUAUUUCCAGUACCAUCGAAAACACGAGCAGGGGAAAAAUGAUUAUCUGGUUCAAUUAGUUAGUAAAUAGUAGAGCUACCUCUAGUUGCUCAUAAAGACUCCUUUUGAACGUCUAGUUGCAGUUGUAGUGCCUCCUUAAGUUGCGUAUCGCCGCAAAUGGUUUUCAAAUCUUUCUAAGAAACAUGAAAUUAACUGCGAUGGAAGAAAGUUUGUAUCUUUGCAACUGUUUAGGCUCAACACGUGGAAAAUAAAAGGCUAGUUUUGAGCUUAACACAAUCUCUAAUAUGCAUUCUACUAAAAUAUAGGUAGCGCAUUCUACUAAAAUAUAGGUAGCAUGAAGUAGCAAUUUUACAUUUCGAUGCCAAUCCAUGCUGCAUUAUUUAACUAAUCUUCUUCACAGAUCUUUUAGUUGCAUCAUCUAUGUGAAAAUAACAGUAAAAAAAAGAGCAAGUUAGCAACAAUAUGAGAAGGCAAGACAUGGGUUUGGCAAAUGUCAAAGGAACAAUUGUAGCAGAUAUCUCGCAUUACGAGUCAUGUCUUAUUCAGGGAAUAAAUAAAGGAUGACCCUGCAAUUAGACCACCCAAAAUACUCCAUGAAAAGGAUACCACAUACCUUCUUAAAUGCAGACUGACAAAGUGGCACUGAUAAGAAGUAUUAGAACUUUACUAGCAUCAUCGACCUUACCUUCAAAUUUCAACGAUAAAAUAAGUAACCAAGAAAUAAGCAGUUUAACUUAGGCUCUAAUAAAUAAAAUAUGGGCAUUGACAAUAAAUUGAAAAGACAUUGUACGUGUGUGGCCAAUUCUCUAUUGGCUAAAGCAAGAGAAUACUAGGUAACCUUCCAUAUCCAGCCCUCCGCCAUGCUUUUGCAGGGACAUUAGUCAAUGAGAGAUAUAUAAAAGGCAGAGCUAGGGAACUAACUCAAACACUUUGCACAAACACAAAAAAGAGAAGAAAAUGAUGCAAUAUAACCAAAGUAUACCCGAGAGGAUCCAGUUUUCAAUACUCUAAGUUGUUGUCAAUAACCAGAAAAGCACGAGCCAGAUGAAAUCUCCCAACCGAGGCAUUUUAAGAAGAAAAAAAAAUCUCCAUUAAAAUCAGAAUAGAAUAAAGAUAACUGAAAAGUAUACAUUAUCACCAAUUCCCCAAAAGCUGUUUAAGAAAUUAAAUUUUACAAUAAGGAUAACAAACAAAAAAGACCAGAAAAGAGAGGCUAAAACUAAGUCAUUCAGUUCCAGCUAUCACAUUUUCAAUUACCCAAGUAUUAAAAGAAUACUUCAUACAUUCAUACAUUACACAAGCAGCAUACUAAUUGAAUUUGCAAGGGUUAAGUUGCGAAGAGCCGAAAAGUUCAGUGAAACGUGACCUAAUUGAAGUUUACUUCAAACUCAUUAGUCACAAAACUAGGAUUACUGAAAAUUAACCAAAACAUAAAAUUGAAGAUGGAAGGAGAAAAGUGUUCACCUAGAAUCGGAUAUCAAAUCGCGAUUGAGAAAAUUGCGAAGUCGGAUGAAGUCGGAUGGAUACAAAUUUGACAAUCAAAUCGCGAUUAAACUCGAAUUUGAAAAGAAAUUAAGACGAUAAACUUAAAGCCUAAUUAGCAAUGUAAGCAUCAAUCUGAUGGCGGAGGCGGUCCGGUGGUGGUAACGAUGGCAGUGGCGUUGAUGGUGAUGGCGAUGGAGCCGGUGGCGGUGGCGGUGGCGUAGCAGGAUCGAAGAAAAGCCCUAGCAUUUCUAAACGACGGGAGAGAGAAACGUAUUAAGAAAAAAAAUGAGAGAGGCUUUUUU